RNAcentral lists this ribosomal RNA (467 nucleotides) under uncultured bacterium. RNAcentral's name for it is "partial 16S ribosomal RNA". It matches the Rfam family "Bacterial small subunit ribosomal RNA", at positions 28 to 506 of the family's 1533-position model. The record is from RNAcentral.
GACGAACGCUGGCGGCGUGCUUAACACAUGCAAGUCGAACGGAAAGGCCCUGCUUUUGUGGGGUGCUCGAGUGGCGAACGGGUGAGUAACACGUGAGUAACCUGCCCUUGACUUUGGGAUAACUUCAGGAAACUGGGGCUAAUACCGGAUAGGAGCUCCUGCUGCAUGGUGGGGGUUGGAAAGUUUCGGCGGUUGGGGAUGGACUCGCGGCUUAUCAGCUUGUUGGUGGGGUAGUGGCUUACCAAGGCUUUGACGGGUAGCCGGCCUGAGAGGGUGACCGGCCACAUUGGGACUGAGAUACGGCCCAGACUCCUACGGGAGGCAGCGGUGGGGAAUAUUGCACAAGGGGCGGAAGCCGGAUGCAGCAACGCCGCGGGCGGGAUGACGGCCUUCGGGUUGUAAACCGCUUUCGCCUGUGACGAAGCGUGAGUGACGGUAAUGGGUAAAGAAGCACCGGCUAACUACGU